AGCCUCCUCCCAGAAGGUAACAAGGAAAACAGAUUGUGAAGAGGAGAUAUAGUGCCCCAGACAAUCCUGCGGACUCUGCUCAAGCAUCACUUAUAUGCUAUGUCUUGGAUAGAAGGAAGUGAACUACCAAUUAUCUUUUCUGGAAUCCUCACCACUCUCUACACUGCCUUCCUGUCUGAAGCAGUAAUGCUUCCAAACCAGGCAGUAAUGCAAUAUGACAGGAUGCUCUCAAUUGUCCCUAUAUAGAAAGUGGUAAGGACAGAGGAAGAUGAACUUUUCUCACGCGAUGCAGAAAAUGCAGGCACUGCUAUGCCUGCUUCACCAGUGUCUCACUGUUGAGUGACCAAGCUAGUCUACUCAUUAGCUGCACACCCAGAAACUUGAUGCGGCUAACCACCUCCACAGGUCAAUCAUUUAUACAUAAAGGUUUGUGGCUGUUGCCUGCCUUUUUUGAAAUUGACAAUGACCUCUUUAGUUUUUCCUACAUUUAAAAUGAGGCUGUUUUUGUUACACUAGUUCACUAAACCCCCACCUCCUUGUAGUAAGCAUCCUCAUUGUCAUCUUGAAUAAGGCCCACUACUGUUGUAUCAUUCGCAUAAUUCACAAUAUGGUUGGUGGUAAACCUAGCACAGCAGUCAUAGGUCAACAGAGUGAACAAUAGUGGACUUAGGACACAGCCCUAGGAGAACAUGUGCUCAAGAAAAUGGUGUUAGAUAUAUUAAUCCCAACUCGCACAUACUGGGGCUUAUCAAUAAGAACGUCAAGAAUCCAGUUGCACAAAGGAGUAUUAAAGCCUAAAAAGCCCAGUUUGUCUACAAAAUGCUGAGAGAUGAUUGUAUUAAAUGCUGAAGUCAACAAACAGCAUUUGCAUGAGUGUUUCUUUCCUCUAAGUGUGCCAAGCUCAGAUGGAGAACAGAAGAAAUAACAUCUUCUUAGAGCAAUUUGGAGGGUAAGCAAACUGAAGCGAGUCAAAUGUUGGAGGGAGACUGGAUACAAUAAUGUCCUUCAUCAGUUUCUCAAAACAUUUGAUUAUGAUGGAUGUAAGUGCAACUGGAUGGUAAUUAUUGAGAUCCGUAAUUGUAGACUUUUUUGGCACUGGCAAAAUAAUGGCCAUCUUAAAACAUGAUAGGACAGAGUGUAUUUACAAAGAACAUUCAGAGCCUCAUCUCUGCACAAGGAGGAAUAUAGCCAGCUGUAAUAAUGAUAACAGAACAUUUCCUAGACAGAUAGAACGAUCUGUAUUUGGCAGUCAAAAGCAUCAGGGGAGCACAAACUUGAGACCACACUGACAUUACACCAUCUGUCAUUUAUAUAAAAAGAAAACACCCCCCCCCCCCCCCAAAUGGGAUUUACCGCUAAGAGCCAAACUGUGGUCCAGCCGAAAUGUUGAGAAUCCCACCAAGCUAACAACACUAUCUGGGACAGAGAGCUUUAACCAAAUUUCUGUUGCAAUGACGACACAGCAGUUUCUCAUCCCCAGGUUUGUUAUUAAACCUAGCCUCAUGUGAUCCAUUUUUGGCUCUAAGGAAUGGGCAUUAGCAAACAAAAUAGAUGGCAGUGACAUACUCUAUGGUUUAGCUUUUUAGCCUAGUUGUUAGUCCUCUACAUUCAUCCCAUUUCCUCUUUUAGUCAUAUCAUCUCCUCUUCUGAUGACAGUAAGCGCUGGAGGGAGACUUCCCACCUGCAAUGGCUUCCACCACUACCCCGCCUCUGCUGCCCAAAAUGCAGAGGACAACGUUUAUGAAGAAAACCCAAAUACCUCAAUGCAUCCUGGUCAUUUGCUAGGAGUUUAAAAUAUUAUUUGCUCUGGCCCUGAUCCCACCAGAACAGUGCACAACCCCCACCCCUUGCCUUCCAGGAAGCCUUAAAGUCCUGGCCUUCCCCACAAAUGUUGGGGAUAGGAUGAGCCCAAGGAAGAUGUCGACAUGUGCAGGAGAGGGCUGC
Molecule: non-coding RNA, 1944 nt
Organism: Notechis scutatus (mainland tiger snake)
Lineage: Eukaryota; Metazoa; Chordata; Lepidosauria; Squamata; Elapidae
Source: RefSeq, a predicted model, not a curated record